GUCAGUCCCAGUCAGGACACAGCAUGACCAUGAGGGCCCCUUCUCAGCUCCUGGGGCUCCUGCUCCUCUGCCUCCCAGAGGCUCACUCAGGGCUCCAGGUCUGGAAACAAACAGCACACAUGGUCCAUGAUUCUGAAGGAAGCCUGCUAUGGGAGAAAACCAAGAAGUCCUCACUGCACCUGCUCCUCCCCCUCCACCCCAGGCCUCCACAGCACAGCUACAGCCUCUGUGGAGACCUGUGUGAGCAGGUGAGGGCUUAAAAUAGAUGCCCUGCUCUGCCUUCUUCUGCUGGUUGCUGAUGUUCCACCUUCAUUUGAGGACAUCCUCCUACAUACUCGUCUCAACCACCAAGUGAGAAGCAGAAACCUAUAAUUAGAGUUGAAUUCUACAACCAGCACAACAAUAAGUAUCAUAGAUGUCUCUUU
RNAcentral lists this long non-coding RNA (425 nucleotides) under Ictidomys tridecemlineatus (thirteen-lined ground squirrel). Its description in RNAcentral is "lncRNA (ENSSTOG00000034551.1)". The record is from RNAcentral. Lineage: Eukaryota; Metazoa; Chordata; Mammalia; Rodentia; Sciuridae.